AGAGUUUGAUCCUGGCUCAGAUUGAACGCUGGCGUCAGGCUUAACACAUGCAAGUCGAGCGGUAACAGGAGAAGCUUGCUUCUCGCUGACGAGCGGCGGACGGGUGAGUAAUACUUAGGAAUCUACCUAGUAGUGCGGGGAUACGCUCGGGGAAACUCGAAUUAAUACCGCAUACGGACCUACGGGAGAAAGGGGCCAACUUGUUGCUCUCGCUAUUAGAUGAGCCUAAGUCGGAUUAGCUAGAUGGUGGGGUAAAGGCCUACCAUGGCGACGAUCUGUAGCUGGUCUGAGAGGAUGAUCAGCCACACCGGGACUGAGACACGGCCCGGACUCCUACGGGAGGGGCCAGCAGGGAUGGGGAAUAUUUGGACAAUGGGGGCAACCCUGAUCCAGCCAUGCCGCGUGUGUGAACGAAGGCCUUUUAGGUUGUAAAGCACUUUAAGCAGUGAAGAGAGACUCCAUGGUUAAAUACCCAUGAACGAUGACGAUUAGCUGCCAGAAUAAGCACCGCUUCGUGUAUUCUUGUUCGCCCACACCCCCGGUAUACAGAGGGGGGGUGCAAGGCUUUUAAUCGGAAUACUGGGCGUAAAGCGAGGCGUUAAGUGGCUUGAUUAAGUUCCAAAGGAUGUGAAAGCCCCGGGCUUAAACCCUGGGAACGGAAUCUGAAUACCCUUGUUACGCUUAAAAGUAAGCGUGAACGAAGGGGAACGCGUUACGAAAAUUCCCCAGGGCUGUUAACGGUGAAAUUGCGAAAAACUUGCCGUGGAGGAAUACUCGGAUGGGCCGAAGGGGAAUGCCUUUCGGGCUUCAGUACUGACACUAAGGUGCGAAACCUUGGGUAGGCAAACAGGAUUGAAUAACCCCUGGAAGUCCCCCCCGUUAAACGAUGUCUUAACUUAUUCUUUGGGGUUCCAGCCUUGAGGGACAUUUAGAUGACGCAGCUUAACGCAAUAAGUAGACCGCCUGGGGAGUACGGCCGCAAGGUUAAAACUCAAAUGAAUUGACGGGGGCCCGCACAAGCGGUGGAGCAUGUGGUUUAAUUCGAUGCAACGCGAAGAACCUUACCUGGUCUUGACAUAUCUAGAAUCCUGCAGAGAUGCGGGAGUGCCUUCGGGAAUUAGAAUACAGGUGCUGCAUGGCUGUCGUCAGCUCGGUGUCGUGAGAUGUUGGGUUAAGGUCCCGCAAACGAGCGCAAACACCUUGUCCUUAGUUACCAGCGGUUUGGCCGGGGAACUCUAAGUGAUACUGCCAAGUGACCAAACUGGAGGAAGGCCGGGGAACGAACCGUUCAAGGUUCAUCAUUGGGCCCCUUUACGACCAGGGGCUACACACACCGUGCUAACCAAUGGGUUCAGGGUACCACGCAAGGGCGAGCUAACACCGAGCGAUGUUGAAUGCGAAAUUCUCAAAAAAGCCUAUUCGUAGUCCAGCAUUGGAGAUUCUUGCACACUCGCACAUUCCAU
This 1463-nucleotide ribosomal RNA is filed under the name Psychrobacter immobilis. RNAcentral's name for it is "partial 16S ribosomal RNA". It matches the Rfam family "Bacterial small subunit ribosomal RNA", at positions 8 to 1324 of the family's 1533-position model. Lineage: Bacteria; Pseudomonadati; Pseudomonadota; Gammaproteobacteria; Moraxellales; Moraxellaceae. The record is from RNAcentral.